Long non-coding RNA from Nomascus leucogenys (northern white-cheeked gibbon), 5311 nucleotides. RefSeq lists it as uncharacterized. The record is from RefSeq and is a predicted model, not a curated record. The transcript has 3 exons. Lineage: Eukaryota; Metazoa; Chordata; Mammalia; Primates; Hylobatidae.
AAAGAAAGAAAGAAAAAGAAAAGAAAGAGAAAGAAAAGAAAAAAGAAAAGAGAAGAAAAGAAAAAAGAUGACAGAGGAAACACCCUGGAGCCGAUUGGUUGCCUGGCCUUGGUGGAAGUCGCUGCACAUCUGUGCUCCAUCUGUCAGAUGUUAUGGCAGUGUUCAAUGUGUCCAACAAUUGUGUCCUGAGGCUCCAGUAGCCUCCAUCACAUAAGCCAAGUGGACGCUGGGCAGUCAUUCUCCAGAACUCACUAGACAUGCUGUCUUACCUUGGGAUUUCUAGACACAUUUGUAUGUAUGGGAGAACAUACCAUCACUCCAAACAUGAGGAGAAAUCCCAACACUGCAACCUCAGUGAUAAGUCCCCAGCCAGGUCCUUGGAGUUGUCAUGGAAACACGUGUAGUGCCUGCCAUCUGAGUACCUGGGUGUUACUCUGGAUGCUUUCACUGGGGAGCUAAGCCCGAGACCACCUCAGUUGUGCUUCACCAGCUCUUUCAUUUUCUUUGAGCAGUCUGAUUAUUUUUGUUGUUGUUUGCUAACAUGUGGGCUUUGCCCACUAUCUAAUUAUUACAUUCCAUCAUUACAGAGGGUGAGUCUGGACUAGCUAUUUGAAUGAAAGGCAAUGUUUUAUACUGACAUUUUAAUCAGUGGAACUUUCUGUCAUAAAAUCUCUAUGAGACAGUCAUGAUUUUCUAAAACUAAUAUACAUCUUUUGUACAGCCUGGCAUCUGUGUAUAAUUGACCGAUUUAUUAGAUGUUUGUGGUUCAUUGAUUUUCUAGACAGAAAAAAAAUUGGCUUGCAGUUUCUAACUGCUGUUUUCCUCAAAUUGAUCAUGUUGGCUCUCAUAAAUGUUCCCUUUGUGCUCAUGUUCUUACUGUUGCAAAAAAGAAACUGUAUUAUAUGCAGUGUGGUGUCACUGGCCUUGGAUUUAGAGUCGGAGUUUUUUUUUCUUCCUCCUGCAGAAACUAGCUCUUUUUUUGUUGUUGCCAAGUCUUUUAAAGACAGUUUUAUUCAGAGAAAUUUUCCUUACAAAAGGCUGCUUCUUCUCUGAGUAUACAUCUCUUCAGUUUAGCAUUAUUCCUAUAAGGGAAAUUUUCUGAAAGCUACUUUGCUUGAUUUACAAGGAUGCCAAAAAAAUAGAAUUAUUGACAAUUGAUCUCGAGAUGAUAUCCAAGACAAAGAUAACUUUCAGAAAAUUUUUCUUGAUGCUAUUGCUGAUAAUGACAUUUCUGGCUUAGAUGGGAGUUUUACAAAAAGUAGCCACAGUGUUAAAGCAUCAGUACACAAAAUGAUUAAAAGCUAAUAGUUGUCUCUGUUUCCUUGCAUAAAAUAUGAUGCAACAUAUGGGGUGAGGCAAGCCAUGUUUAAUAGACAUCAGUUUAGAAUUAUUGACCGUUUUUGGAUGCAUGGGAAAAAAAAGCUAGAAGUAAAAAGAAACAAGGAGAAAAGAGAAACAGAGGAAAAUACUUUUUAAUUCAUUCGAUGAACCAGCCUAACCUUAAUGCCAAAACCAGAUUAAGGCAUUACAGGAAAGGAAAACAAUAGACUAGUAUCUCUCAGGAAAGUGGAUGCAAAAAUCGUCAACAAAAUAUUAGUAAAUUGAAUCCAACAAUAUAUAAAACAAACAAUACACCAUAACCAAAUGGGAUUUACUCCAGAUAUGCAGGACUAGUUCAAUGUUUGAAAAUCAUAAUGUAUUCAAUCACAACAACAGGCUAAAGAAGAAAAAUUAUAUGAUCAUAUCAAUAGAUGAAGAAAAAGCAUUUAACAAAAUCCACCAUCCACUUAUGGUAAAAACUCCAAGCAAACUAGGAAUAGAGGGAAAUUUUCUCAAACUGAUAAAGGACAUGUACAAAAAAUCUACAGCUAACUUCAUACUUAAUGAAGAGAAACUAGAUGCUUUCCUUUUAAUUUAGGAAGGCAAGGAUACCUGCUCUCACCAGUCUUAUUUUAGAUCAUACUGGAAGUCCUAACUAGUGCAAUAAGACAAGAAAAAGAAAUUAAAAGCAUACAGAUUGGGAAGAAAGAAAUAAAGCUGUCUUCAUAUAUAGAUGGUAUGAUUGUCUGUGUAGAAAAUCCGAAAGAAUCAGCAACAACAAAAAUCCCCUUCUGGAAUUAGUAAGCUAUUAUGGAAAUGUUGGCAGAUACAAGAUUAAUAUUUAAAAGUUAAUUGUUUUCUUACAUAUCAACAAUGAACAACUGGAAUUUGAAAUUAAGAAAUAAUGCCAUUUACAUUCACACUGAAGAAUUGGUAUAAAUCUAACAAAAUAUGUAUAAGAUUUAUAUGAUAAAAGCUAUAAACCGCUGAUGAAAGAAACCAAAGAAUAUAUAAAUAAAUGGAGAGAUACACCAUGGACAUAGAUAAGAUUUAAUAUUGUCAAAUAUCCCUUCUUCCCAACUGGAUCUAUAGAUUAAAUGAAAUUCCAAUCCAAAUACCAGUAAAGAUUUAAAAAUUUUUUUUAAUUUUGACAAACUAGUUCUAAAGUUUGUAUGGAAAGGCAAAAGACCCAGAAUAGCCAACCCAGUAUUGGGUUUCAUUAAGUAAGAAAGAAAAGAAUACAAUCAGAGGCCUUACACUAUCCAACUCCAGGAAGUACUAUAAAGCUACAAUAAUCAAGACAGCAUGGUAUUGGUAAAAGAAUAGACAGAUAAGUGGAGCAGAAUACAGAGCCUAGAAAUAGAUCCACACAAAUAAGGCCAACUGAUACUUGAUGAAUGAGAAAAGUCAAUUUAGUGGAAAAAAGAUAGUCUUUUCCACAAAUGGUGUGUGGGAGUGGGGGAGGUGAAUAUAGGAGUUCUGUAUUUUCUGCCCAGUUUUUCUGUAAGCCUAAAAUUGCUAAAAGAAAUGGAGUCUAUUAAUUUUUUAAAAAUCGAUUCCAAAGAAAGGGUAAAGGGAGAGAUAUAAUCAUAUAACCAUAUAAACUUUGGGGUAAGACAGAAGCUUUGACAUUAAACACAUGAACACACUAGAAGAGGCUUAAAUACAUGAAUAAAAUUACUAGGAACAUCUAUAUUUUGUAGUUAAUUGGGUCAAACCCCAAAAUGGCAGGAAAAGAAGCAGCCAGAAAGGAAAAUAACACACCCACUCAAAAUAAAAGAAAAAUAACAACCACUACAAGGCAAUCAAAUGAGUAUUCUAAAGGGCCAUGAUAUAAGCAAAAACACAAAUAACUCUUAAAAAAAUCACCCUCACUGAGACUGUGUACAAGCUGGGUCAACAGCCCACUAUACAGGUGUCCUGUGAACACCAAUUACAGCAGCCCUUUCCAGCUCAGGGGAUGUUUCCUGAGCCUUUGCCUCAAUCUCAGUAGAGUAUUUGAAAACCUAGAGGACUCCGGAGCCAGACAGAGCAUGUUCCAAGUCUGGAUUCCCAUGUACUAAUGGAUGCUCUUGGGCAGAAAAUAACCUCUCAAAGACUGUAAACCAGGGCAGUCAAGCAGAGACUUGGCGUCCAGGCCCUCUGGUCACACUGCAUGGGUCAAAUUCUAGUUGUCUCUCCAUGGAGGUGAGACCAUGAGAAUCCAAUGAGAAAAUAAAUGUGCAUUUUGGCCGUUCAUCUGAUCUGGUUUCUACUCCAUUGCUUACCACAUAGAUUCUUUCUCUGGUUGGCCCCCUUGCAUUGUCAGUUCAAUUGGACAAGACAGAUGAUAUUAUUUUGGUUUCACACCCAGGAUGCUGCCUCUUGUCUCUCUUUCUUCCUUUCAUACAAUGCUGCUUCUGUCUCCUGCCCAGGUCUCCGGGUCUCCGAAUUCCAGCCAAGAAUCAGUGUGCUGAUGCUGCUUGCUUUGAAAAGGAGAGUAGCCCCUGUGACCUGAACCUAACACACCAGAAUCAAUGCAGCAUCAUUGUAUCUGCAAGAUUAGGGUAACAAUUAUUUACAAGUCAAUGGGAAAAGAUAAAGAAAACAUUCUCUAUGUAGUGGCAAUGUGGAAAUUCAAACAAAAUGAAAAUGAAACUAACUUAUUUGCACAAAUAAGAAGCCCUAGGUGGUUACUGACAGGCAGCUAUGUAGGUCAUGACAUAGGCAAUGAGUAUUGAACAGGCUCCUGAAUCUAAGGAAAGUGGGGGGAAUAUGGCGUCUCUGCCUCUGGCUGCGGGGCUACACAGCUGGCAGCCGGCAGUAGGAGCAAUUUUGCAUCUGCUUUUUUACAGCCCAGUGACUGGGCAGGAUUUUAUGGCCAAUAGCAGUAAAAAUCUGGCAACUAUACAUUUGGAGCCCAGAAAUUGAAUCACCAAAACAAUCCAGGAAAAAAAAAAUAGAAAAGUGGUAGAAAUGAAAUUCACCCAAUCAUUAGAAAAUAAGACAAACGUAUUUUUAAAAUAUAGAAGUUUGGGAGAAGGGCAAAGUUUGGCUCUAAAACAGAAAGGGAAUUUUUUUAAAAUGCAAAAAGUCUUGGGGAAAGGAGCACCGUGGAGCAUUUCCAAAGCUUUAGGGAAUGAAUGAGACGUAUUUCAGAAAAACCCAAAAUUGCACAAUUGUUUUUUUGGAAUUAGUACAAGAUUAAAUUAGAGAUGUAAAAAUAAAGGAACACUGAAAACAGUGACUAAUUUCUCUGUAUUUGAAAUAAAUAUUUGCUUUCUUAAGGGAAGAAAAGAAAAAAGAAUGAAAAAAAUCACAAGUAUUCAAGGAGAAGACUUUUUAUUAAAAAAAAUACUUAUAGCACUAAAAACUAUCCCAAUAUUUAUUAACAUCCAGCUAAUUAAAAAUCAUGACACUAGAGGUCAGGCUCCUAAUUCUGAACAAAUUAUAUUUACUAUAUUAUCAUAUCAGUGAAGUUUAUAAGCAGCAGGUCCAUGAAGUCAUUGCCAUUAUUAUUUUAAUUAUUGGUAAUAAUGGUAGUAGAUGUUGCUUUUUAGUGAAGAACUAGGUUAGCAGAGUAAAAGGUCUGACCUAGAUUCUCUGAACUAUUGAGUGUCAAGAGUAUUUGUUCAUGUCAGAAGAAUUUUUAACAUCUAAAUAACUUAUUUAGAAGAGAAAUUUCUUGUUGAAUAAUCACAUUUUACUAGCCUACUCUCAAAGUUCAAGAAUUUCUCUCUGCCUAGUGUUUCUGAGUACAGACUCUGAUACUAGGAUUCCUGGGCUCAAAUCCUACCUGUUUCUGAUUUGUUGCCCAACCUUAGGCAAAUCACCCAUUCGCUGCGCCUGUUUCUUCAUCCAUAACCUCAGGGUGUUAAUAGCAUGUACUCUAUAAGGUUGUUGUGAAGAUGAAGAGAGUUAACAUAGGGGAGGAUCCUUGGAAACCAGGGGAGGAUCCUUUGAAGCCAGAAGUUUGAGACCUGUCUGGACAACAAAGUGAGACCCCUCAUUU